GGCAGUGGGUGAGACAUGGCCUGCUCUCAGGAACCCCCAGUCGAGAGGGACAGGGUCUGAUGACGGCCUGCCCCUGCCGGGCGCACAGGCGACCAGCUAAGUAAGGAAGGGGCUUCUGCUCUAGCCUGGAAGAUUAGGGAAGUCUGCUGGGGAAUCGUGUAAACACAUUUUGAAGGAAGAGAAGAGCCCUGGGGAUAGACGAGGCCCAGGGCUGCCAGCCUGGAGAACAGCAUGUGCCAAGGCCCAGAGUCCGCGGCAGGCAGUGACGAAUGGGCUUGCAGCCUGGAGGGAGUGGGCUGAAGAGCCAUCUGAACGAGCUGGGCGGAGGUGAGCAGGCUGAGGAAGCAGAGCCCAGCCGGAAACUAGGAAGAGCUACCGGCAAUGGGGCGGCCGAACACAUCCUCCCCACGGCCUGGGAGGGCAGCUCAGAGAUCACCUCCUCCAGGAAGCAUUCCUUGACAACUCCACUCCCAGCCUGAAGGAUGAAGUCCAGGGCACUGACAGCAUCCACUGCAGCAUCACAGUGUGUGGUACCAACCAUCCCAGGUGACAAAAGGCCCAGUACGGACCAGGGUGGGUGUAUGCCAACCACGGAGGAUGUGAAUACAAGCACAAUCCAGGCCUCCUUCCUGGACUAGGGGACCCUUUCCCAGGGAUGGAGCCUUUCUACCUUCUCUGGGCCACAUGCAUCUCAUAUGCACUUAUGGCUUUGCUCCCAAAAAGUGCACAAAAGCCCAGGACUGGCUAGGGUGGUUUGGCCCUUCUUGGGCAGUGUCACCAUCCAGAAGCUGAUUGCUGGCCUGGUCCUGGCCUGACCCCUCCUCCUCCGUGUAAGGGGGCUGAUGAGGAUGCUGGGCUCCCAGUGGGCAUCUCUGCUAUGACACCAGUGCUGUGCCACAUAAGACCCUUUGAACCUUUCCAGAGCUCAGAGAAGACAAAAGGCAGCCCCAAAGCCACACACAUUUCCAGGCUUUGCUACCGGGAUGCUCUAAUCCUCCCCUGUACACCUUCCUAGAACCCAGAGGCACCCCAUCCCCAGGCCCCCAGCCACAGGCCCCUACCCUUCCAUCUGGGGACACAGGGAAAGCUGCUGGCCUGCCUGGGUGCUUUUCUGGACUGCGGGGAGGAAAGGCCCUCCCCUCCUCCUGGCAAGAAAUGUCAGGCCUGGGAACUCCAGCCUCCUCCCCAGGGUCUGUCUCCCACAGACCUCGAGCUGCCUGGAGGUGGGAACCAGCGUUCUGCACACGACGGAGCGACAGUGCACGUUUGCUUAAUGAAUGCAGAGGGACAUAAGGCAGGGCAGGGGCACGGAGCAUGGGAAUUAAACUUCAAUAAUUGCCAACAUGGAUGCAGAGCCUGGGAGCCUGCCCAGGGCUUCCACUGGCACCGCCGUCAUGAUUCAUGCUCCAGCAGCGCUUGGAAGUGGGCAGAGAAGGGAGCUGAGGCCGAGGGGCAGGGAGGUGGCUCUGCCCUGGAACCACCACCAGGGAUCGCAGCCCGACCCGGACUCCGCAGGACCCCUGCGCACCCAGGCAGCAUCGCGUCCUCCGCCAGGCAGCGAGCGGUUGGCUCUCCAAUCAGGCGGCGGACCCCGAGCCGACCGGUGCUGCGCGCGAGUGUGCGCGCCCGCGUGUGCGUGCGCGUGUGCCCGGGGGAGGCUAGGAGGCUCUUGUCUUAGAAAGAGCAGGUUUCUGGAACUCACCGCCCAGGCCAUCCAGCACUCAACCCCGUCCCGCAGACCGCAGUCGGCCCUGGAGGGGGCGCCCUCGCCGUGCGCGCGCGCCUCGCGCCACC
Long non-coding RNA from Canis lupus familiaris (dog), 1794 nucleotides. RefSeq lists it as uncharacterized. The record is from RefSeq and is a predicted model, not a curated record. Lineage: Eukaryota; Metazoa; Chordata; Mammalia; Carnivora; Canidae. The transcript has 3 exons.